AAUUUCGCUAUUAGCUAACUUUUCGCCUUUAGCGAAAUUGCUCAGUGACAGCAUACCCUGUUUUAUGUUCUUGCAUUUUUUUCACACGUUUCUGUUUUGAAUUGGCCUUUGGUGUAAACAUGAAAGUUGUAGAUAAUUGCGUUAGCCUUCCAGUGGCUUUGGUUUGACUUGAAAAUGAUUUUUGGUUUUUGAUAUAUGAUGAAUUAUUAUGAGAAUAUAUACUACGUUGAUGAAUUUCGUUGUUAAGAG
Molecule: long non-coding RNA, 249 nt
Filed under: Medicago truncatula (barrel medic)
Lineage: Eukaryota; Viridiplantae; Streptophyta; Magnoliopsida; Fabales; Fabaceae
Description: long non-coding RNA (MTRU_LNC007564)
Source: RNAcentral